Molecule: ribosomal RNA, 495 nt
Filed under: uncultured bacterium
Lineage: Bacteria
Description: partial 16S ribosomal RNA
Rfam family: Bacterial small subunit ribosomal RNA
Source: RNAcentral
GACGAACGCUGGCGGCGUGCCUAAUACAUGCAAGUAGAACGCUGAAGGAGGAGCUUGCUUCUCUGGAUGAGUUGCGAACGGGUGAGUAACGCGUAGGUAACCUGCCUGGUAGCGGGGGGUAACUAUUGGAAACGAUAGCUAAUACCGCAUAAGAGUAGAUGUUGCAUGACAUUUGCUUAAAAGGUGCAAUUGCAUCACUACCAGAUGGACCUGCGUUGUAUUAGCUAGUUGGUGGGGUAACGGCUCACCAAGGCGACGAUACAUAGCCGACCUGAGAGGGUGAUCGGCCACACUGGGACUGAGACACGGCCCAGACUCCUACGGGAGGCAGCAGUAGGGAAUCUUCGGCAAUGGACGGAAGUCUGACCGAGCAACGCCGCGUGAGUGAAGAAGGUUUUCGGAUCGUAAAGCUCUGUUGUAAGAGAAGAACGAGUGUGAGAGUGGAAAGUUCACACUGUGACGGUAUCUUACCAGAAAGGGACGGCUAACUACGUG